GAUCUGGCUCAGGAUGAACGCUAGCGACAGGCUUAACACAUGCAAGUCGAGGGGCAGCACGAUGUAGCAAUACAUUGGUGGCGACCGGCGCACGGGUGAGUAACGCGUAUGCAACCUACCUAUCAGAGGGGAAUAACCCGGCGAAAGUCGGACUAAUACCGCAUAAAACAGGGGUUCCACAUGGAAAUAUUUGUUAAAGAAUUAUCGCUGAUAGAUGGGCAUGCGUUCCAUUAGAUAG
This 238-nucleotide ribosomal RNA is filed under the name uncultured bacterium. RNAcentral's name for it is "partial 16S ribosomal RNA". It matches the Rfam family "Bacterial small subunit ribosomal RNA", at positions 15 to 248 of the family's 1533-position model. The record is from RNAcentral.